GGCUAACGCUGGCGGCGUGUCUUAGCCAUGCAAGUCGAGCGGACUUAUGGGGUAACUUAUAAGUCAGCGGCGGACGGCGGAGUAACACGUAGCUAACCUACCCUCUGGACGGGGAUAACCUACCGAAAGGUGGGCUAAUACCCGAUGUAGUCAUCCUGUAUAGGGGUGAUGAAAGGUGGGCUUCUGUUUACAAGCUCAUGCUGGAGGAGGGGGCUGCGGCCUAUCAGGUAGUUGGUAGGGUAAUAGCCUACCAAGCCGAUGACGGGUAGCCGGCCUGAGAGGGUGACCGGCCCGAGGGGCACUGAGAUACGGGUCCCACUCCUACGGGAGGCAGCAGGCUAGAAAUUUGGGCAAUGGGGGAAACCCUGACCCAGUGACGCCGCGUGCAGGAAGGAGCCCUUCGGGGUGUAAACUGCUGUCGUGUAGGGAGAAGGGUACUAAGGUGAACAAUCUUAGUACUUGACGGUACUACAGGAGGAAGCCCAGGCUAACCUCGUGCCAGCAGCCGCGGUAAUAUAGCGUUCU
RNAcentral lists this ribosomal RNA (525 nucleotides) under uncultured bacterium. RNAcentral describes it as "bacterial SSU rRNA". It matches the Rfam family "Bacterial small subunit ribosomal RNA", at positions 28 to 534 of the family's 1533-position model. The record is from RNAcentral.